Molecule: ribosomal RNA, 253 nt
Filed under: uncultured bacterium
Lineage: Bacteria
Description: partial 16S ribosomal RNA
Rfam family: Bacterial small subunit ribosomal RNA
Source: RNAcentral
UACGAAGGGGGCUAGCGUUGCUCGGAAUCACUGGGCGUAAAGCGCACGUAGGCGGAUUGUUAAGUCAGGGGUGAAAUCCUGGAGCUCAACUCCAGAACUGCCUUUGAUACUGGCGAUCUCGAGUCCGGGAGAGGUGAGUGGAACUGCGAGUGUAGAGGUGAAAUUCGUAGAUAUUCGCAAGAACACCAGUGGCGAAGGCGGCUCACUGGCCCGGUACUGACGCUGAGGUGCGACAGCGUGGGGAGCAAACAGG